GAUGAACGCUGGCGGCGUGCCUAAUACAUGCAAGUCGAGCGAACGGACGAGAAGCUUGCUUCUCUGAUGUUAGCGGCGGACGGGUGAGUAACACGUGGAUACUCUACCUAUAAGACUGGGAUAACCUCGGGAAACCGGAGCUAAUCCCGGAUGAUAUUUUGAACCGCAUGGUUCAAAAGUGAAAGACGGUCUUGCUGUCACUUAUCGAUGGAUCCCGGCUGCAUUAGCUAGUUGGUAAGGUAACGGCUUACCAAGGCAACGAUGCGUAGCCGACCUGAGUGACUGGUCGGCCACACUGGAGCGUGGACACGGACCAGACUACUACGGGAGGCAGCAGUAUGGAAUCGUCCGCAAUGGUCGAAAGCCUGACGGAGCAACGCCGCGUGAGUGAUGGAGGUCUUGGGAUCGUAAUACUCUGUUAUUAGGUAAGAACAUAUGUGUAAGUAACUGUGCACAUCGUGACGGUACCUAAUCAGAAAGCCACGGCUAACUACGUG
This 497-nucleotide ribosomal RNA is filed under the name uncultured bacterium. RNAcentral describes it as "partial 16S ribosomal RNA". It matches the Rfam family "Bacterial small subunit ribosomal RNA", at positions 28 to 507 of the family's 1533-position model. The record is from RNAcentral.